Talpa occidentalis (Iberian mole) is the source of this 984-nucleotide long non-coding RNA. RefSeq lists it as uncharacterized. NCBI's taxonomy places the organism in Eukaryota, Metazoa, Chordata, Mammalia, Eulipotyphla, Talpidae. The record is from RefSeq and is a predicted model, not a curated record. The transcript is spliced from 3 exons.
CAAACUGUCUAGAGAGAAGCAGCCAUCUGAAGGCGCCAAAGACACAUGCGGGCUGCAUUUUGCAAAAUGUCCUGGAGGCGAAAGCUGCUACUUGACCUUCCUCAGAACCUUGAAACUCUACAAUGAACUCAGUGCAAAACCUCACUCACUCCGUUCUUCUAACUGCUCUCUGGGCAAUAAAUUAAGAUGGCCUGAGGUGUCUUCCUGCUGGCUGGGGCUGGAGAGGACGGCUCGGUGGUUGUUGGGGAGAGUAAAAGGCGCAUGUGUGGGUUGGAGUCGCUGCAAGUUCCUACUGGAAGUGAGUGAAUCUUUCUGGAAGUUCUCUGUUGGAUUCCCAGGGGCUGGGCCUCUAACUUUGAUCUCUAAGACCAGAGCUUUGCAGAAAAGAACAACAAAAAAAAUUGACAUGAUUGGGUCUGGAGCGGCAGGAAUUUAUGACUGGAGUGGAUAAUGAAGAGGCUGAAAACAUAGAAACAGGCCUUACAAUCCUUGACACCCUCUGAUCCCCAGCACCCCUCCUGGGGCUCUUCUAAACCUUGUGCAACUGCUGGGAAGCAGGGACCGGAGGCUGGGCUGUGACUGCUGCGUCCUUUUAAACCAAAGACUUGGAACACUCAAGACUGCCUGUGAGGUUUUGUUUACAUUCCAGUAGACCUGUUCAGGUGGGCCUGAGUGUCUAUUCAUCGAGGUAGAGGUCGUGACUCGGCUGUGGACACACAGGCGCUGGCGAGCUGGGGCCGGCUCUCCAGGUACACAGAGUUCCUGCUAGAGCCCACGGAAGGAGCUCAAGGCAUGUUCCAGCUGGUGGACGGUCGGCUGCCCUCUGCGUGGAACUGACAGUGGACCAGGCGGCGCCGAGGAGGUGGGGGGUCGACAGCGACCCCAUUCUGGUCUCCCACCGCCCGUAAGGUGUGCUCUUCCCCUGUCGCUGGGGGAAGCCUGGGACAGUCUCCUGCUGUUUGUCUCUCUGGUCUUUGGUAAUAA